UUACCAGAUAUAUAUAUAAAUAAUCCUUGUGGUAAAUACUAGUAUUCAAUGCUCACUUGCCCUCUCAUGCUAUCAACCCAACAACGACAACAAACAAACAAACAAACAAACAAACAAGAAGAAAAGUACACAUGUUAAAUUAUUGUAUAAUUUAUGCAAAACCAUACAUUUAUCUCCACAACCGUAUUAUACCAUGAAUUUCUCCCAAACAUCUUUACAAAGCCUGCAC
This 229-nucleotide long non-coding RNA is filed under the name Physcomitrium patens. Its description in RNAcentral is "long non-coding RNA (PPAT_LNC008193)". Lineage: Eukaryota; Viridiplantae; Streptophyta; Bryopsida; Funariales; Funariaceae. The record is from RNAcentral.